AUGACUCUCGGCAAAGGAUAUCUUGGUCCUCGCAUCGAUGAAGAACGUAGCGAAAUGCGAUACUUGGUGUGAAUUGCAGAAUCCCGUGAACCAUCGAGUUUUUGAACGCAAGUUGCGCCCUAAGCUUCCGGGCCGAGGGCAAGCCUGCGUGGG
RNAcentral lists this ribosomal RNA (153 nucleotides) under Potamogeton compressus. Its description in RNAcentral is "5.8S ribosomal RNA". It matches the Rfam family "5.8S ribosomal RNA". Rfam says of the family: 5.8S ribosomal RNA (5.8S rRNA) is a component of the large subunit of the eukaryotic ribosome. It is transcribed by RNA polymerase I as part of the 45S precursor that also contains 18S and 28S rRNA. The record is from RNAcentral. Lineage: Eukaryota; Viridiplantae; Streptophyta; Magnoliopsida; Alismatales; Potamogetonaceae.